This 410-nucleotide ribosomal RNA is filed under the name uncultured bacterium. Its description in RNAcentral is "bacterial SSU rRNA". It matches the Rfam family "Bacterial small subunit ribosomal RNA", at positions 370 to 772 of the family's 1533-position model. The record is from RNAcentral.
AAUGGGGGCAACCCUGAUCCAGCAAUGCCGCGUGUGUGAAGAAGGCCUUCGGGUUGUAAAGCACUUUUGGCGGGAGCGAAAGGGCCUGGGCUAAUACCCCGGGUUGAUGACGGUACCCGCAGAAUAAGCACCGGCUAACUACGUGCCAGCAGCCGCGGUAAUACGUAUGGUGCAAGCGUUAAUCGGAAUUACUGGGCGUAAAGCGAGCGCAGGCGGUUGUGUAAGACAGAUGUGAAAUCCCCGGGCUCAACCUGGGAACUGCAUUUGUGACUGCACGGCUAGAGUGCGUCAGAGGGGGGUGGAACUCCACGUGUAGCAGUGAAAUGCGUAGAGAUGUGGAAGAACACCGAUGGCGAAGGCAGCCCCCUGGGAUGACACUGACGCUCAUGCGCGAAAGCGUGGGGAGCAAA